RNAcentral lists this ribosomal RNA (253 nucleotides) under uncultured bacterium. RNAcentral's name for it is "partial 16S ribosomal RNA". It matches the Rfam family "Bacterial small subunit ribosomal RNA", at positions 524 to 776 of the family's 1533-position model. The record is from RNAcentral.
UACAGAGGUCUCAAGCGUUAUUCGGAAUCACUGGGCGUAAAGGGUGCGUAGGCGGCGCGGAAAGUCAGGGGUGAAAUCCCGGAGCUCAACUCCGGAACUGCCUUUGAUACUCCCGCGCUAGAGAGCUGGAGGGGACAUCGGAAUUCACGGUGGAGCAGUGAAAUGCGUGGAUAUCGUGAGGAACACUAGUGGCGAAGGCGGAUGUCUGGACAGUAUCUGACGCUGAGGCACGAAGGCCAGGGGAGCGAACAGG